This 505-nucleotide ribosomal RNA is filed under the name uncultured bacterium. RNAcentral describes it as "partial 16S ribosomal RNA". It matches the Rfam family "Bacterial small subunit ribosomal RNA", at positions 28 to 507 of the family's 1533-position model. The record is from RNAcentral.
GACGAACGCUGGCGGCGUGCCUAAUACAUGCAAGUAGAACGCACAGUUUAUACCGUAGCUUGCUACACCAUACACUGUGAGUUGCGAACGGGUGAGUAACGCGUAGGUAACCUGCCUGGUAGCGGGGGAUAACUAUUGGAAACGAUAGCUAAUACCGCAUAAUAUUGAUUAUUGCAUGAUAAUUGAUUGAAAGAUGCUAUUGCAUCACUACCAGAUGGACCUGCGUUGUAUUAGCUAGUAGGUGAGGUAACGGCUCACCUAGGCGACGAUACAUAGCCGACCUGAGAGGGUGAUCGGCCACACUGGGACUGAGACACGGCCCAGACUCCUACGGGAGGCAGCAGUAGGGAAUCUUCGGCAAUAGACGAAAGUCUGACCGAGCAACGCCGCGUGAGUGAAGAAGGUUUUCGGAUCGUAAAGCUCUGUUGUAAGAGAAGAACGGGUGUGAGAGUGGAAAGUUCACACUGUGACGGUAUCUUACCAGAAAGGGACGGCUAACUACGUG